AUUUACAAAAACCACCCUGACAAAAGAGUAGAAAAAGCAAUCUGUGUCCAGGGGGCCUCUGCCAACCACCGCCGGCGAACUCCAGGCGUCUCCGCCGAGUUCGGAGCGCGAAGUGCUCGAACGCUCUUGAAUGAGAUACGGAUUGGAUCAGAUCAACCAGCGGAUGAGCUUGGCCACACGCCGGCGACCCGCUUGCGCUUGGGUCCUGCGUCGCCGCGCCGUCCCCAAUCCCCAUGGCUCAGCUGCCUCGGCGUGGUCCAAGCCCUGCGUCCCUCCCAUCAAGUUGGACCCCUCCGCCGCACCCGCACGCGCCACCCCUCCCUCUGUUCGUUCAUCUCGCCUCUCCAUCCUUUUUCACAGCAACAGAACAGAGAGGUCCUGCUUGACUGCAACGGAAGCAGCCACCAGCCAGCAGAGGGACGUCUCCCAGUACUCCGCAGCCACCCCGCCUCCAUCUCCGGCAUCCACCCAAGGUAGUCGAUCAACAAGGGGAGGAGGCUAGUGUGCCCGCCAAACAAGCGUCGAUCAUGGCAGCGCCGUCCGCGCCCCUCCAUCCUCCUCCCCAAGGUCGCUGGUCUCUGCAUCUCCCAUGGGCCAUGGCCAUACUCUUCAGUUUUUAUUCGGCAUCGUUUCAUGUGUGUUACGGCAGGCACCGUGUAAUGUAAUUGGAUUGGGAUCCGUUCGUUUGUGUAGAGACGUCGCUUGCUUCUAUUUGAUGCAUCUUGUUGACGGAAUUGGCACUCACUGCCUUUCGUUCUGCAAGUCUUUAUUCUUUCGUUUAGCAAUUGCAUACCUCUGUAUUUUCAUUUAGCAAGAAAAGAGUUUGCCUGGCCGGAGUGGCGAGGCUGAUGCCGAGCUGUGCAUCGGUGCUUCAGGGGCUUAAUGACUAUUAGCAUCAGUCUCUUGUGAAGAAA
Molecule: long non-coding RNA, 914 nt
Organism: Lolium perenne
Lineage: Eukaryota; Viridiplantae; Streptophyta; Magnoliopsida; Poales; Poaceae
Source: RefSeq, a predicted model, not a curated record